CGGAAAUAACGGAAAUAACGGAAAUAACGGAAAUAACCUCGACAGAGACAGAAACUUACGGCAGAAAAUUACGUGACAGGUCAAGAACAACAAUGGAAAGAACGGAAAGAACCUCUAGAGAGACAGAAACAUACGGCAAAAACUUAGGUGACAGGUCAAGAACAGCUACGGAAAUAACGGAAAUAACAAAAAUAACAGAAAAAACGGAAAGAACGGAAAGAACGGAAAGAACCUUCAGAGAGACAGAAACAUACGGCAGAAAAUUAGGUGACAGGUGAAGAACAACAACGGCAAUAACAGAAAAAAAACGAAAUAACGGUAAUAGAAACAGAAAUAACAGAAAUAAUAAAGGAAAUAUCAAAAAUAAUAACACAAAUAAGAACGGAAAUAAGAGCAGAAAUAACGGAAAUAAUAACGGAAAUAAUAACCUAAAUAACGGAAAUAACGGAAAUAACGGAAAUAACGGAAAUAACCUCCACAGAG
RNAcentral lists this long non-coding RNA (483 nucleotides) under Gallus gallus (chicken). RNAcentral's name for it is "lncRNA (ENSGALG00010006747.1)". The record is from RNAcentral. Lineage: Eukaryota; Metazoa; Chordata; Aves; Galliformes; Phasianidae.